Molecule: ribosomal RNA, 253 nt
Filed under: uncultured bacterium
Lineage: Bacteria
Description: partial 16S ribosomal RNA
Rfam family: Bacterial small subunit ribosomal RNA
Source: RNAcentral
UACAGAGGUUGCAAGCGUUAAUCGGAAUUACUGGGCGUAAAGCGUGCGUAGACGGUUAUUUAAGUCGGGUGUGAAAGCCCCGGGCUCAACCUGGGAAUUGCAUUCGAGACUGAAUAGCUAGGGUACGGUAGAGGGAAGCGGAAUUUCCGGUGUAGCGGUGAAAUGCGUAGAUAUCGGAAGGAACAUCAGUGGCGAAAGCGGCUUCCUGGACCAGUACCGACGUUCAGGCACGAAAGCGUGGGGAGCAAACAGG